CCUACGGGCGGCAGCAGUGGGGAAUAUUGGGCAAUGGGCGCAAGCCUGACCCAGCAACGCCGCGUGAAGGAAGAAGGCUUUCGGGUUGUAAACUUCUUUUCUCAGGGACGAAGAAAGUGACGGUACCUGAGGAAUAAGCCACGGCUAACUACGUGCCAGCAGCCGCGGUAAUACGUAGGUGGCAAGCGUUAUCCGGAUUUAUUGGGUGGAAAGGGCGUGUAGGCGGGGGCGCAAGUCAGAUGUGAAAACUCAGGGCUCAACCCUGGGCCUGCAUUUGAAACUGGGGUUCUUGAGUGCUGGAGAGGCAAGCAGAAUUCCAGGUGUAGCGGUGAAAUGCGUAGAGAUACGGAGGAACACCAGUGGCGAAGGCGGAUUGCUGGACAGUAACUGACGCUGAGGUGCGAAAGCGUGGGGAGCAAACAGGAUUAGAUACCCUUGUAGUC
Molecule: ribosomal RNA, 443 nt
Filed under: uncultured bacterium
Lineage: Bacteria
Description: partial 16S ribosomal RNA
Rfam family: Bacterial small subunit ribosomal RNA
Source: RNAcentral